Long non-coding RNA from Pantherophis guttatus, 716 nucleotides. RefSeq lists it as uncharacterized. Lineage: Eukaryota; Metazoa; Chordata; Lepidosauria; Squamata; Colubridae. The record is from RefSeq and is a predicted model, not a curated record.
GUUCCUUCCUGGUGAUGGAUCACCCUGGCUGUGGCAUUUAAAUUCUGAGCGCCCCUUCAUCAAGGUGACGCGCAGACACCGCCGCCGCCGCCUCCCUCCCUCCCUCCCGCUCUCUUCUCAGCCAGCGUGUUGGGCUUGGAGAGCUGGGCCGGCGAGCCAGUGUGCGUCCAAGCGCUCAACCUGGAGCAGCCGCCGCGGGAACAACAGCAGUAAGAACAGAAAGCACUGAACGGCCGCCGGAGGGGGCUGCUCCUGCGUGAAUUGAAGGACACAGAGCCUGCAGACCCGGUUUGAAAACACCAGACAGAGCAGGAUGUUCUGUGAAAUACCAACAUUGAAUGACCACGUCCAGUGAUUAAAAGGAAAGGCUCCGAGGAAAAGGGCUGAGAGGCGACAACGGUGGUCUGUCUGAUCACUUUAAAUUGAUGUACAUCUUUCGUUGUGGUCGAAGACGAGGGAAAGCAAAAAGUCCGAGCUCAAAAUGAUGUCCCUCUACUUCUGUUUCCCAUCCAACAGCACAAGUUUCUUCUUGGAAAGAUUUCUUUUCUUGGGACCUUUGGAACACUGGGACGGAAAUCCAUCAGAAGUGUACCUUUUCUUGGUUCCCCACACCAACAUUUCUUUCCAAGACAUGGCUCGCAAAAAGAAUAAACACAGUGACUAAUAUAAAUAUACAUUUUUAUCAGUCUGCACAACUGCAGCAAUCCUCCUAAGAA